This is an RNA transcript of Durio zibethinus, 1069 nucleotides long. It is a transcript of the gene named kxDL motif protein, with no coding region annotated. Lineage: Eukaryota; Viridiplantae; Streptophyta; Magnoliopsida; Malvales; Malvaceae. The record is from RefSeq and is a predicted model, not a curated record.
AUUUCUUUUAAAGUUCAAAUAAAUAUAUAAAUAAUAGAGAGGAAAAAGAGAAGGGAAUAAAAUUGAGCAUCGAGAAAUGGAGGAAACGGAGAAAGAAUCGAUAAGAGCAGCUUCUAAAGAGGUUUCUCAUCAGUUCAAAACCCUAAUCGAUGCCGAUGAUUUGGACUCUCUUAAGCAUUUGCAGCUCCUCAUAUUGGGAAGAUUGCAGGACAGCAAUGCGGUCUUAUCUCAUUUUAAUGAGUAUUCAGAACAUUGCUUUGCUGAGGUUUCUGGUGACUUUUCGAGAAAUACACGCCUCUUAAAGUCUAUGAAGUCAGACCUUGAUUAUAUUUUUCAAAAGCUUAGGAGUAUGAAGGCAAAGAUUAUGGCUACCUAUCCAGAUGCAUUUUCGGAUGAAUCAACAAAGGAAGUAUUUGACCAAAGACCAGACCUAGAAGUGCCUCAAUAGCUUUAUUAUUGGUCAAAAAUGCCACAUCACUUUGACUCUAACAGUGUUAGUCCCUGGGAUAACUUGCCUUAUGGAACUGAAGUUCAGGCGCUCAACGCCAGCAAACCUUCCCCUCAUGGUUCGAGUAACAUUCAUACCAGAACAGUGGUUGCCUUUGUAUCGUAUUUGUCGAGUAUAUAUAGAACACAAAAUAGCCUUGCUACAAUAUUCUUGUCUGUAGAAAUCAAUUAAAGAAGGAAGAGGAUCAUGGAAGGAAGGAGAGGGAGCGAGAGUGAGAAAGAGAAAGGCAAAAAAGUUGAUGGGCUUCAGAGGCUUGGAAGUGUCAUUAUAAUAACUCUAAUCGACUUGGUUGACAAGAUCCAUGCAGCAAUUACUUAAGAUGACAUCUUCGGUAUAGGUCAGCCAAUGAGUGGAUCUUUUGUUUCCCUUCUUUGCUCUUUGAGAUGAUUAACCCUCCAUCUAAAUGUUAACUAAAUGUAAUAAUAAAAGAAAAAUAUAAUAACAAAGAGAAUAGAUGGAGGGUUGAUCAUCUCAAAAAGAGGGGAUAUAAUACCUUUAGUGGAUUUAUUGAAUAUGAAAAUGGAAGAUUCUUUGAGCUGUUAAUAGAUUACGUUAUUUAAU